AUUGAACGCUGGCGGAAUGCUUUACACAUGCAAGUCGAACGGUAGAGGGGGCAACCCCUUGAGAGUGGCGAACGGGUGAGUAAUAUAUCGGAACGUGCCCAGUCGUGGGGGAUAACGUAGCGAAAGUUACGCUAAUACCGCAUACGAUCUACGGAUGAAAGCGGGGGACUCGCAAGAGCCUCGCGCGAUUGGAGCGGCCGAUAUCAGAUUAGGUAGUUGGUGGGGUAAAGGCUCACCAAGCCAACGAUCUGUAGCUGGUCUGAGAGGACGACCAGCCACACUGGAACUGAGACACGGUCCAGACUCCUACGGGAGGCAGCAGUGGGGAAUUUUGGACAAUGGACGCAAGUCUGAUCCAGCCAUUCCGCGUGCAGGAUGAAGGCCCUCGGGUUGUAAACUGCUUUUGUACGGAACGAAAAGCUUCUGGUUAAUACCUGGGAGUCAUGACGGUACCGUAAGAAUAAGCACCGGCUAACUACGUG
This 482-nucleotide ribosomal RNA is filed under the name uncultured bacterium. Its description in RNAcentral is "bacterial SSU rRNA". It matches the Rfam family "Bacterial small subunit ribosomal RNA", at positions 30 to 507 of the family's 1533-position model. The record is from RNAcentral.